RNAcentral lists this ribosomal RNA (304 nucleotides) under uncultured bacterium. RNAcentral describes it as "partial 16S ribosomal RNA". It matches the Rfam family "Bacterial small subunit ribosomal RNA", at positions 506 to 809 of the family's 1533-position model. The record is from RNAcentral.
CAGCAGCCGCCGCGGGAAUACGAAGGGGGCUAGCGUUGUUCGGAUUUACUGGGCGUAAAGCGCACGUAGGCGAACUUUUAAGUCAGGGGUGAAAUCCCGGGGCUCAACCCCGGAACUGCCUUUGAUACUGGAAGUCUUGAGUAUGGUAGAGGCGAGUGGAAUUCCGAGUGUAGAGGUGAAAUUGGUAGAUAUUCGGAGGAACACCAGUGGCGAAGGCGGCUCACUGGACCAUUACUGACGCUGAGGUGCGAAAGCGUGGGGAGCAAACAGGAUUAGAUACCCGUGUAGUCCCUGUCUCUUAUAU